GCGUGGAGACAGGUGGUGCAUGGCUGUCGUCAGCUCGUGUCGUGAGAUGUUGGGUUAAGUCCCGCAACGAGCGCAACCCUCACCCCUUGUUGCCAUCAGGUGACGCUGGGCACUCUAGGGGAACUGCCCCGGUCAACGGGGAGGAAGGUGGGGAUGACGUCAAGUCAUCAUGCCCCUUACGCCCUGGGCUACACACGUGCUACAAUGGCCGGUACAAAGGGAUGCAAUACCGCGAGGUGGAGCUAAACCCAGAAAGCCGGUCUAAGUUCAGAUUGGAGUCUGCAACUCGACUCCAUGAAGGAGGAAUCGCUAGUAAUCGCGCAUCAGCACGGCGCGGUGAAUACGUUCCCGGGCCUUGUACACACCGCCCGUUACACCACGAAAGUCAGCUGUACUCGAAGUCGCUGAG
RNAcentral lists this ribosomal RNA (409 nucleotides) under uncultured Methylomirabilota bacterium. Its description in RNAcentral is "bacterial SSU rRNA". It matches the Rfam family "Bacterial small subunit ribosomal RNA", at positions 1026 to 1434 of the family's 1533-position model. The record is from RNAcentral. Lineage: Bacteria; Methylomirabilota (SeqCode).